UCUCAGUGGUUGGAAAUCUAAUAGAUACUUGUGCAAUGAAUGAGCCAACUGAGAAUCCAACACAGCGUUCUCCAAAAAAUAUGCAGUUAUCAGAUAUUAUAAAGACAAGUAUAAAGCUGGAUGUCUGCUCAGUUAUGUCCACUAAUUUCAUUCUGUUCUGCAAUUAAUUUAUCAGAUGAAAAGAAGAACUGAAAUAUAAUUCUCCUAUUCUGGGCAUUUCUGUUGCAUUACUGCUGAUGCAGCCGUUCUCAUUACAGGAAGGAAAAGUACAGCCUGGGACUUUUUACUUCUUCCAGCUAACUUUCAGUUUGACCACAGGGCGUUCAGACAGGAGUGAACCAGGCCCUGUAAAAUGCACUUGGCAAGCUAUCAGAAUGAGCAGAAGCGAUAUCCACCUGUGAAGAAUGGUGACACAGAGUACCAUCAAAACCAGCCUGAAGCCACCUUCAAUUGGGCCAGGAUUUUACUUCAACAAUUUGAAGAAGCCUUUCCCAUUUAAAUGUUCUAUGAUUCUGUAAAUGAACAAUAUUAUUCAUCUUAGGUCUGUCACAUAAAGAAGAAAAAUGUACAUAUGAGUUUAAUCCCUUCGUUGGUUUAUAACCUCAGAAUUCAGGCAGGAGAGUCACAAAUCCAUGUAGACAUCCCCAAGUGCUGACUUUUGCAUUUGGAUUUCUGAUUUAGUUGAAAAAUAUAUAAAAAACCUGUGUAGCCAGACAGCUCCCUAUUGGCUAGACAUCUGUACAGACUCAAGAGCAUCGUAUAUUUCUGCAAAGAUCUGGAAUAAAUUGUGCUCAAUGAAUUGGCCCCUCAUAUGCUUGAUUCAAACAGCGGACUCCGAUGAACUCAUGUAUCGUGGGAGUGUCAAUGGCAAAACAAUACCUCUUGGUCAAAUCUAGUGGGAGCUGCCAUCAUAAAUGUGGAAGAUGUGUGGAUCCAGGAAUAAAUAAUUUUGGAAAGAUGGAAACAUAUUUAUAGAUCAGUAUUAGUGACUUCAAAUUACAUUCCGCUUCUUGGACAUCAGUUUUGUAUUUUGAAAGCUCUACAGUUUCAAAAGAAACUGUAGAAAAGUAGCUUCACCCACCUGGCCUCAGCCAUCUAGAAAAGAAGUGCCUGGCCUAAGCAGUUCAUCUAGCAACAUCAUUCAUAGGGAGCUUUGUGUCAGUUUUACUACAAAGCAUGCCACCCUGUGAAGUUGCUUGUCUCUCCAUUGACAAAAUGGAAAACACAGGCUGGUGUUUUUUAACAUCAUCCAGCUAAAAGCUGGAUGGAAGCUAAAAGGGAUCUGCUGCUACAUAUGUACUCAGUAGGCCAUUUACCCAGCCCACAUGCAUAAACAGCAAGCAGGGGCACAAUACUGAAAACAGAUUUAUUAGUGGUCUUAUUUGUUGCUACCACAUCUUACUCUGAAGGCCUGUCUCAGCCUCUUUUGUUGGAUGAACAUGAUUCUUAUCCAUCUGACCUGACCUUUUCUUCAAUGCUAGGACAUUUGUAUGCCAUUUUUCUCCUUCAGUGUAAACAGCUGUCUGCAGCCAGUAACUCUUGAACCAACACUCAGUCUCUCGUUCAGACACUCAGCUGAGCAUGCACCCAUGUAAACAGCUCACACAUUGUUGUGUAGAUUUUCAAACACAAAAUUUUCACUUUCUUUCAUGACGGGUUCUGCAAGAGUGGGUAAAAACUGCACACAGAUUUAUGAAUCCUGCUGUUCACCCAGUCUAAAUUUUGGCUCUACUUCAACCUCUUUCCUUUCCUGUUUUCCCAAGAACGUUCCGCCUGGAAGCCAGGUUCAUUAAUGAAAAGUUCAAAAUUAUCCAGGGACUCUCUCAUCUUCCUCGCCAGCUCACGUCCUUGCUGGGAGCCUUGCAGAUCUGCCCCUACCAAGACAGGCUCAUUUCCAGCCACUCUGGUCAGAGCCAGUUCCUGCUCCUGCCACCUGAUAUCCUGCAUGCAGCACAAGAUUGAGUCUCGCAGCUCUUUUAAGCUUGGUUUCCUCCCUCUGAACUCCUUUCUGAAUUUAGGUAACCCAUAAUGUUUCCCAGAAGAUCCAAUUAUGAGUCACUUACUUUUAACACAUGAACCAUCCUUCAGCACAUCUGCAAGCUGUAGCUAUAGCCCAGGUGAGACUAAGCCUGUAGCAACUCCCUUCAUGCCACAAAAUGUAUAUUUAGAUUUCUAGAACUUAUACCGUUCUUAUAUCCCUACUUCUAAAGAUACAGGACUAUAUUUAUUCAUGGUUUUAAAUAAAUAUUUCCAUUUGUUCCUGGCAAAAAUAAA
Long non-coding RNA from Lagopus leucura (white-tailed ptarmigan), 2274 nucleotides. RefSeq lists it as uncharacterized. The record is from RefSeq and is a predicted model, not a curated record. Lineage: Eukaryota; Metazoa; Chordata; Aves; Galliformes; Phasianidae. The transcript has 3 exons.